This 1330-nucleotide unclassified non-coding RNA is filed under the name Melitaea cinxia (Glanville fritillary). RNAcentral describes it as "misc RNA ENSMCXG00005004278.1". Lineage: Eukaryota; Metazoa; Arthropoda; Insecta; Lepidoptera; Nymphalidae. The record is from RNAcentral.
UCGACUAAUAUUUGAAUAUGAAGAAAAUUUUCUCUACUUGUAAAAUGUUCGACUUAUACAUUUCCAUCAUCUAUCUCACUUUAAUUAUCAUCAUUAUCUCUGAUCUCUCAUAUUGUUGGUGCUCUUCCGUACGGCGUAAUACAAUGACGUAUUGUACUACAAUUUAUAAACAUUUCGCUACUCCUCCCAGAUUUUUUUUUCUUCUGAAGGACUUAUAUUUUAUUAUUAUUAUAGGUUAAGCUGUUAUUUUCGUCUAACACAGUAUUCAAAAUCAAGAAUAGCUUUAUUAAAAUAGGCACAUUUUUGAUUUUAGUUUUAAAUAUCUUGCAUGAAUGGAAUGUCACUCCAUCCACAUAUCUUGCUCAUUUUUGUAAGCCCGCACUGAAUAUUAAGCUUAACAUAAAAUGGUAGGUCAUUUAUAUAUAUUAAAAAAAGAAAAGGACCUAGAAUCGAUCCCUGAGAAACUUCCAUUUUCGGUAUGGAUCCAGAAGACUUCGUUUUGUUUAUUGAUACGUAUUGAAUGCUAUUAGUUAGAUAUGAAUCAAUGAGAUUAAGAGCUUUACCGUUAAUAUUCAAGCUUACUUACUUUAUGGAAUCCCGUGGUCCACGCAAUCGCGCCUUUGAUAAGUCAUAAAAGAUACCAAUAGGAUAUUGUGACCUCUUCCGAGCGUCAUAUAUACUCGUACGCUUGAGAAGUUACAUCGGCAUCUGUCGUAGAGCGUACUUUUAGUGAAACCACAUUGUUCAUUGUCAAAAACGCCGUUAACCUUAAAAUAAAUAAUUGUUUAGUUUAGUAUAUUUUUUCUAAAAGUUUUACCUCAGGACAGGUUUAUAAUUACUGGAAUCAUUUAGAUUUCCUUUGUUUUUAAUGGGAAAACUACUAUAUUUUGACAAAUCUCGAACAGAAACCACUUUAAGAGCAUUGCUAAAAAUUAAUGCUAAGUACGGAGCGAGAUCAUCAUUAUAGGCAGUGGUCGAUUUUAAAAUGUACUAAGUGCCUAGUGCGAGUUUUUUUUAAUCCGUUUCGCAAUAACGGAUGUAAAUUUUAACUUUAUUUUGUAUGGGAAAUUCGGCAUUUCAACCUAGUUCUCGCGUUUGCCGCUAGAUGACUCUGUAUCGAUUGUAUCGUAUACUAUUGUUAAUCGUCUAGGCUGCAGUGUUUAUAUCCCCAUGCAAAAUAAUCUUCACUAUAAACGCGUUUCUCUCAUGUUUCUGUGAAUAAAACUCGCACUAGGCACUCUGAAGUGUCGUCAACGUACAACACGGUACGCAGGCGGGGCGCGGCGCGCUGGUGGCGCGGCCGCGCGCGCUGGUGUACGCGAACGCCGAG